UACAAGUAGUCAGAGCCCGUUAAUGGGUGAUGGCGUGCCUUUUGUAGAAUGAACCGGCGAGUUACGAUUUGAUGCAAGGUUAAGCAGUAAAUGUGGAGCCGUAGCGAAAGCGAGUCUGAAUAGGGCGUUUAGUAUUUGGUCGUAGACCCGAAACCAGGUGAUCUACCCUUGGUCAGGUUGAAGUUCAGGUAACACUGAAUGGAGGACCGAACCGACUUACGUUGAAAAGUGAGCGGAUGAACUGAGGGUAGCGGAGAAAUUCCAAUCGAACCUGGAGAUAGCUGGUUCUCUCCGAAAUAGCUUUAGGGCUAGCCUCAAGUGAUGAUUAUUGGAGGUAGAGCACUGUUUGGACGAGGGGCCCCUCUCGGGUUACCGAAUUCAGACAAACUCCGAAUGCCAAUUAAUUUAACUUGGGAGUCAGAACAUGGGUGAUAAGGUCCGUG
This 443-nucleotide ribosomal RNA is filed under the name Enterococcus faecium. Its description in RNAcentral is "partial 23S ribosomal RNA". It matches the Rfam family "Bacterial large subunit ribosomal RNA", at positions 565 to 1009 of the family's 2925-position model. The record is from RNAcentral. Lineage: Bacteria; Bacillati; Bacillota; Bacilli; Lactobacillales; Enterococcaceae.